This 554-nucleotide long non-coding RNA is filed under the name Setaria viridis. Its description in RNAcentral is "long non-coding RNA (SVIR_LNC008738)". Lineage: Eukaryota; Viridiplantae; Streptophyta; Magnoliopsida; Poales; Poaceae. The record is from RNAcentral.
GGGAGUUCAUUUGUUGAAACAUCAUUGAGAACUUUUUCUUGAGCUGGUACCUCCCCUGUCUCUGUUGCAACUUGAGCAUGCCAGUGCAUGCCGCUAUGACAGGUUCACUUGUUGUCGGUGUUUUAUACCUGGCAACCUACCGAGGGGGUACCCGAGGUAGUGUUUGGUGUGGUGGGGCUCGCCGAGAUCAAGAACUCGAAGGUGAACACAGACACACGAUUUAGACAGGUUUGGGUCGCUGAAUAGCAUACUACCCUACGUCCUAUGUGUUGGCUGCAUUGAUUGAUGGAUGCUUUGGAGGAGGUCCCUGCCUCGCCUUAUAUAUCCGGGGGUAAGGUUACAGGUUAAUUAUUUACAGAGAUACUAGUCGGAUUUGACUAGAUAAGUCCUAUUGCUAUUACAACGAGUACUUUCCUAAUCUUCGACUAGUUCUUGUCUUUUUCAUGUAGAUCACGCCGUCCUGCACCGUGGUCUCUAUGUCAGAUACGCCUCAAUGUCCAGCCCCAUAUUUGGGACUGUCCAAACCUUCUGGUGGGCCCAUAGAUGUAUGUACA